GGAGAGAUGGCAGAGUGGUUGAAUGCGACCGUCUUGAAAACGGUUGAUGGAAACAUCCGGGGGUUCGAAUCCCUCUCUCUCCG
This 83-nucleotide transfer RNA is filed under the name Ktedonobacterales bacterium. RNAcentral's name for it is "tRNA-Ser". It matches the Rfam family "tRNA". From Rfam's summary of the family: Transfer RNA (tRNA) molecules are approximately 80 nucleotides in length. Their secondary structure includes four short double-helical elements and three loops (D, anti-codon, and T loops). Lineage: Bacteria; Bacillati; Chloroflexota; Ktedonobacteria; Ktedonobacterales. The record is from RNAcentral. RNAcentral also lists the same sequence under 1 other name.